AUUUAAAAAUCACAAGAAGAACUUCUCUGUUAUCCAGAGUUGAUAACAAAAAAAUGCAUUCUUUGGAGACUUCAUCCCAGGAAGGAGCAAGUCAGGCAUUAAUUUCCAUUUCCUGUCUCUUGUUCUCACCUUCAGGAAGUUCCCAGCACAAUCCAGAGCCCUGUGUGGACACUGAUCUCCAUAAGGACUGUUUAUUGCCGGGACCCUGCUGCACCAGAAAGAUAAGAAGGAGGAGGAAGAGGAGAAGAGAGGUGCACAAUGCCAUUACUGAGAAAAGAGCCAGCAAUUUUGAAUUCCCCAUUGGACCAGGAGCAGCAGUCCUGGUAAAUGUUCAACAACUGGCUCUGCAGGGGCAUUGAUGGAUCCCUUAACUUUCCAUGGUCUGUGGAGAUCUUCAAGUUUUUCUACUAGAAAAGCCUCAUGGCCCAGAAUUCCACAGGUCUUUCCUGGCAGAACUGUAGAUGCUGUCUUUGUCUUGUUAUCCUCUGGGACAUUGCUGGACAGGAACUCUGGUGGUAAAUGAGAAGAAAUGACACAGAUAUUUUUGGUGUGAUAUACUUACGAAGCUGUUGCUAUCAAGACAGUAAGAAGCCAAUCAAAUUCUGGCCACAGAGUUCAUCUCCGCAGGCUUCAGUUUUCUUGUCAGCAAAUCAAGAAGAUAGAGCUAGAUAACUUUCAUCAUUCCUUAUAGAUCCAAUUUAUGAGAAUUUCCCAAAUUAAAUUAAAAAACUG
RNAcentral lists this long non-coding RNA (732 nucleotides) under Vulpes vulpes (red fox). RNAcentral's name for it is "lncRNA (ENSVVUG00000024547.1)". The record is from RNAcentral. Lineage: Eukaryota; Metazoa; Chordata; Mammalia; Carnivora; Canidae.